This 429-nucleotide ribosomal RNA is filed under the name Chloroflexota bacterium. RNAcentral's name for it is "Chloroflexi bacterium partial 16S ribosomal RNA". It matches the Rfam family "Bacterial small subunit ribosomal RNA", at positions 355 to 776 of the family's 1533-position model. Lineage: Bacteria; Bacillati; Chloroflexota. The record is from RNAcentral.
UGGGGAAUAUUGCACAAUGGGCGCAAGCCUGAUGCAGCCAUGCCGCGUGUAUGAAGAAGGCCUUCGGGUUGUAAAGUACUUUCAGCGGGGAGGAAGGGAGUAAAGUUAAUACCUUUGCUCAUUGACGUUACCCGCAGAAGAAGCACCGGCUAACUCCGUGCCAGCAGCCGCGGUAAUACGGAGGGUGCAAGCGUUAAUCGGAAUUACUGGGCGUAAAGCGCACGCAGGCGGUUUGUUAAGUCAGAUGUGAAAUCCCCGGGCUCAAACGGGGAAAUGCAUGGGAUACUGGCAAGCUGGAGUGUCGUAGAGGGGGGUAGAAUUCCAGGGGUAGGGGGGAAAUGCGUAGAGAUCUGGAGGAAAACCGGUGGGGAAGGCGGCCCCCUGGACGAAGACUGACGCUCAGGUGCGAAAGCGUGGGGGGGAAACAGG